CUGUGACCCUGCUCCUCCUCCUAGUCCUUGCUUUGGCCGCCUGGCACUUUGCCUGAUUAACAAUCAUUUGAUGCUUGCUGUUUAGGCAUGAAGUAUGUGACUACUUCAUUUGUAAAUUAUUCCUACAUUUUCUAUGAGAAUCUCUAUCAACUGUUUUUGUAGACUCGCUAGCCAACAAUGUAAAGCUAGACGUCUCUUGUCUUAGCGGGAAACAUUGAAAGUGAUCCUGAAAUUCGUCGAGACUCAUCCGAAUUAUUGGUGGGGAUGCGUCCCUACCCUCACACCCUACACCUGAGCCCGUGAUUUAUUCCACAGCUUCUACAUGGCAUUCUUUUGUCUGUCCGGUUGUGUGGUCCACUGUCCGGUUUUGUGGUCAGUCACAACAAUAAAGAAUGUGGUAAAUGCGCUGCGAGCUGCCUGUCCGUACGGCUGGCACGCGGCUCGGACACACGUCAACACCACGCAGGGGAUGCAAUCACAGGUCUCCUCACAGUCCCCGAGUCCAUGAUAGAAGCCGGGAAGCGGACGGUACUAAACAGAACCAUGCCCACGCGGACCUCUUUGCAACCCCGGGGGAAAUUACCAGAGGGCCACCAAAAACAAAACAAAAAACACAAGAGAACUUAAGGGGAUCCCAGAACGAUUGGCUACUCUUGGAAUGUAAAAGAAAUUGACAUCGCUAGCGUCGAUAUCGACGGUGUUGACGUCGUCAUGGGUUGGUGGGCCUAUAAAAUAUGUAAACUCUGCGAGAAAGUUACAGUAGAUUGCGCAAGAUUAGUCUUGGUCCCACAUGGCGCUCUACAGCCUUACAGGGCCUGCUGAAAAGAAGUACACCAUUGUGAAAAGUGUGUGACUGUUGAUACUAUGUUCCAUGGUCUAACUACUGUAUAUGCAUUCCUGUUCUUUUGAUUCCGGUUGUACUGGCCUUACUGUUAUGUAGUCCCAAUGUUCUAUGGUAUCACUGUACAUAAUUCACACUCCUCAAGAGGCCUUAACAUUCUAUAGGCUUUCUGUUCUAUAGCCUUUCAGUUCAAUAGUCAUCAUGGUCAUACUGUUCAAAAGGCCAAAAUGUUCUAUAGUAUUACUGUUCUAUAGCCUCACUGCUCUAUAGUAUUACUGUUCUAUAGCCUUACUUUUCUGUAGUCUUGCUGUUUUACAGUCUUACAAUUCUACAUGUCUCACUUUUCUACAGCCUUACUGUUCUGUAGUCUUUUUGUUCACGGCUUACUAUGGACAUUAAAAUGGCCAGACUAAUAAAGCAGACAACACAAUGUAUACCCUGGCAGGA
Long non-coding RNA from Esox lucius (northern pike), 1288 nucleotides. Lineage: Eukaryota; Metazoa; Chordata; Actinopteri; Esociformes; Esocidae. The record is from Ensembl.